AUUGAACGCUGGCGGCAUGCCUUACACAUGCAAGUCGAACGGCAGCACGGGUGCUUGCACCUGGUGGCGAGUGGCGAAAGGGUGAGUAAUACAUCGGAACGUACCCAGUCGUGGGGGAUAACGUAGCGAAAGCUACGCUAAUACCGCAUACGAUCUAAGGAUGAAAGCGGGGGAUCGCAAGACCUCGCGCGAUUGGAGCGGCCGAUGGCAGAUUAGGUAGUUGGUGGGGUAAAGGCUCACCAAGCCGACGAUCUGUAGCUGGUCUGAGAGGACGACCAGCCACACUGGGACUGAGACACGGCCCAGACUCCUACGGGAGGCAGCAGUGGGGAAUUUUGGACAAUGGGCGCAAGCCUGAUCCAGCCAUUCCGCGUGCAGGAUGAAGGCCCUCGGGUUGUAAACUGCUUUUGUACGGAACGAAAAGGCUCUGGUUAAUACCUGGGGCUCAUGACGGUACCGUAAGAAUAAGCACCGGCUAACUACGUGCCAGCCGCCGCAGUAA
RNAcentral lists this ribosomal RNA (502 nucleotides) under uncultured bacterium. RNAcentral describes it as "partial 16S ribosomal RNA". It matches the Rfam family "Bacterial small subunit ribosomal RNA", at positions 30 to 523 of the family's 1533-position model. The record is from RNAcentral.